RNAcentral lists this ribosomal RNA (688 nucleotides) under uncultured bacterium. RNAcentral describes it as "bacterial SSU rRNA". It matches the Rfam family "Bacterial small subunit ribosomal RNA", at positions 61 to 747 of the family's 1533-position model. The record is from RNAcentral.
GUCGAACGAAGCAUUUAGGACAGAUUACUUCGGUUUGAAGUUCUUUAUGACCGAGUGGCGGACGGGUGAGUAACGCGUGGGUAACCUGCCUUGUACUGGGGGAUAGCAGCUGGAAACGGCUGGUAAUACCGCAUAAGCGCACAAUGUUGCAUGACAUGGUGUGAAAAACUCCGGUGGUAUAAGAUGGACCCGCGUCUGGUUAGCUAGUUGGUGAGAUAACAGCCCACCAAGGCGACGAUCAGUAGCCGACCUGAGAGGGUGACCGGCCACAUUGGGACUGAGACACGGCCCAGACUCCUACGGGAGGCAGCAGUGGGGAAUAUUGCACAAUGGAGGAGACUCUGAUGCAGCGACGCCGCGUGAGUGAAGAAGUAAUUCGUUAUGUAAAGCUCUAUCAGCAGGGAAGAUAGUGACGGUACCUGACUAAGAAGCUCCGGCUAAAUACGUGCCAGCAGCCGCGGUAAUACGUAUGGAGCAAGCGUUAUCCGGAUUUACUGGGUGUAAAGGGAGUGUAGGUGGCCAUGCAAGUCAGAAGUGAAAAUCCGGGGCUCAACCCCGGAACUGCUUUUGAAACUGUAAGGCUAGAGUGCAGGAGGGGUGAGUGGAAUUCCUAGUGUAGCGGUGAAAUGCGUAGAUAUUAGGAGGAACACCAGUGGCGAAGGCGGCUCACUGGACUGUAACUGACACU